This is a non-coding RNA of Carica papaya (papaya), 877 nucleotides long. NCBI's taxonomy places the organism in Eukaryota, Viridiplantae, Streptophyta, Magnoliopsida, Brassicales, Caricaceae. The record is from RefSeq and is a predicted model, not a curated record.
GCAACUUCUUCUUUUGAUGUUUUUUAAUGGCGUUAUUCUCCUGAGAAAGAGCACCCAACUACAUUCAUCAAAAAAGAAAACCCAACUGUGUCCUGUCUUUCUCCGUGGCAUGGAUUUCGCUGCAGGAGGAGUCUCUCCCCCGAUCCUCUGCUGCCAAUGAUGUGAAAAAGGGUUUGUGUGGGGAACUAGACAUGGAAGAUCCAAACAAAUCCCUUCAAGACUAAGUCUACCAUAUUGGUCCAAUCAUGUUCCCUACCGUUAUAUUGGGUCAAUAUAUAAGUUAUAUCCCACUUAUGACUUUGCUGUUCCUUUGUUGACAAUAUAGAAAGUGUUAAACAGACGAUCCUGCAAGGCAAAGUUUGGUUCGUUCACAUUUAUUUGCAUCUGGCCAAGGCGCAAAAAGACAGGAAGUGCUGGAGGGAAGGCCAAAAUGUACAUGAGAGAUUAUGAAUAGAUCAGACUAAUGGAAAAUUGACGCAGUAACAUUAAUGUACUGGGAAAUGCUUUAGAGAAAGAAAUUAGGAAAGACUAGGAUGGAAAUCUCAUGCAGUUGACACGCGAUUUUGCAUCUUGAAGAAUAUGUCUUAUGUAGCUGAAGUUCACACGCGAUCAACCUUGUCUGGAUAGAAUUUAUCUAUCUAAUGACAGAUAAGAAUGUAAUUCCUACAGGAAUUGUAAAUUUUUCAUCAUUCUUUCCUUUUAUUUCUGGAGUACAUGUUUUAAUUAAUGGAGUGAAUUCACUACUGCUGGACUACAUUCAAUUUGUGUUUUUUAUACAUGCCAUUAGGAUUAGGAGUAUGUGGGAGGGAGAAGUCGAUUUGCAACCGUCAGUUCUUCUGAUCUAAAAAGGAUCUGGCUUAAGGCCCUAUUAUUUUGA